GUGGCUGGUGAUGAGGACUUUUCCACUUGUGUUCGAGCUUCCCGGCCAUGAGAUGACUGCACAUGCACUACCAUCUGAGGCCAC
RNAcentral lists this small nucleolar RNA (84 nucleotides) under Catagonus wagneri (Chacoan peccary). Lineage: Eukaryota; Metazoa; Chordata; Mammalia; Artiodactyla; Tayassuidae. The record is from RNAcentral.